AUUGAACGCUGGCGGCAUGCCUUACACAUGCAAGUCGAACGGUAACAGGUCUUCGGAUGCUGACGAGUGGCGAACGGGUGAGUAAUACAUCGGAACGUGCCCGAUCGUGGGGGAUAACGAGGCGAAAGCUUUGCUAAUACCGCAUACGAUCUACGGAUGAAAGCGGGGGAUCUUCGGACCUCGCGCGGACGGAGCGGCCGAUGGCAGAUUAGGUAGUUGGUGGGAUAAAAGCUUACCAAGCCGACGAUCUGUAGCUGGUCUGAGAGGAUGAUCAGCCACACUGGGACUGAGGCACGGCCCAGACUCCUACGGGAGGCAGCAGUGGGGAAUUUUGGACAAUGGGCGAAAGCCUGAUCCAGCCAUGCCGCGUGCAGGAUGAAGGCCUUUGGGUUGUAAACUGCUUUUGUACGGAACGAAAAGCCUCUUUCUAAUAAAGAGGGGUCAUGACGGUACCGUAAGAAUAAGCACCGGCUAACUACGUG
RNAcentral lists this ribosomal RNA (482 nucleotides) under uncultured bacterium. RNAcentral describes it as "partial 16S ribosomal RNA". It matches the Rfam family "Bacterial small subunit ribosomal RNA", at positions 30 to 507 of the family's 1533-position model. The record is from RNAcentral.